Molecule: ribosomal RNA, 561 nt
Filed under: Rastrelliger kanagurta (Indian mackerel)
Lineage: Eukaryota; Metazoa; Chordata; Actinopteri; Scombriformes; Scombridae
Description: partial large subunit ribosomal RNA
Rfam family: Bacterial large subunit ribosomal RNA
Source: RNAcentral
AGGUCGAGCCUGCCCGGUGACUAUAUGUUUAACGGCCGCGGUAUUUUAACCGUGCAAAGGUAGCGCAAUCACUUGUCUUUUAAAUGAAGACCUGUAUGAAUGGUAUUACGAGGGCUUAACUGUCUCCUUUUUCAAGUCAGUGAAAUUGAUCUCCCCGUGCAGAAGCGGGGAUAGAACCAUAAGACGAGAAGACCCUAUGGAGCUUUAGACACUAAAGCAAAUCAAGUUAAACACCCCUAAACAAAGGACUAAACCUAUUGAACUCUUGCCCGUAUGUCUUCGGUUGGGGCGACCAUGGGGAAACAAAAAACCCCCACGUGGAACGGGAGCACAACUACUCCUACAGCUGAGAGCUGCCGCUCUAAUAAGCAGAACUUCUGACCAAUAACUGAUCCGGCAACGCCGAUCAACGGACCAAGUUACCCUAGGGAUAACAGCGCAAUCCCCUUUUAGAGCCCCUAUCGACAAGGGGGUUUACGACCUCGAUGUUGGAUCAGGACAUCCCAAUGGUGCAGCCGCUAUUGAAGGUUCGUUUGUUCAACGAUUAAAGUCCUACGUGAU